Antechinus flavipes (yellow-footed antechinus) is the source of this 3289-nucleotide long non-coding RNA. RefSeq lists it as uncharacterized. The transcript has 3 exons. NCBI's taxonomy places the organism in Eukaryota, Metazoa, Chordata, Mammalia, Dasyuromorphia, Dasyuridae. The record is from RefSeq and is a predicted model, not a curated record.
GGGGGGGUGAUGAAUAGAGGGGCUGCUGUCCUUGUUAAGUCUUCAAAGCAGAUCCUUUUUAUAAAAGGAGAUUAAAUUAUACUCCUGGUUUCAGUCUUCCAAUUAAUGGACAGAAAAUAAGGAAAAUUGUAGAAAAUAUGGUAGCUCUUCCAGUUAUGGAUAUAUAGUAUGGUGUAAGAUCACUACAAAAGGGAACUAAUUUCAUUUCAUUCUCUGAGUAGGAAGACCAUCAUACACACAAAUACAAACAUAUAUGUGAUAUGCAUUAAUAUUCCUAUAUUAUAUAAAAUUAUAAUAUUAAUAAUAUUAUUAAUUAACUUGUAAAAUCAACUAAAGUCUAGUACUCUUUCAAAAGGAUUAAACAAGACAAUUGACAAAACUAACAGAAUUACUCCAAAAACAUUAAAUUCAACUAUGAAAUGAAUAGAUUCACCCACCUGAUCAUAAAGACUAAACAUUAAAACCUAAUUUUUUUCACCUGAAAUUGUUACAUAUAAUGCAAUAGUUGGUAGUCUUCCACUCACUGCAAAAGUGAAAAGCAAAACAGAAUACAAGAUCUGCUAUUAGACAGUAAAAAAAGCUAACUAAUUUCAUUAAAUGAAAGGCACUGAUGCCAGAAACUGCAAUUCUGGACAUUAUGUGAGUAGUAUUAGUAAGAACAGUAAAAAAAAAAAAAUGCUGACAUAAAUAAUAAAUAUGUAGUAAGGAAUCAAAAGCACAUUUUUAAAAAAUGGCUUUAUUACCACAUUCCAAAACUAAUUCUUAAUGCACACAGUCUCUUUGAAGAGAAUUAUUGUCCUAAAUUUUAAAUUAAUUUUUAAUUAAAAAUAUGAUCAACUGUUUAAUAUUUCCAAAAUCAUUUCACACUUGUUUGAAUUAAAUUUGAUUGAUAAACAUGUUUCAGUGGUUAUGAAAAGGGUAGCUAUAAUGUCCUACAUUAUCUUAAUUGGAUGAGCAAUUUGAAUUGAUACAUUACACCUAGCAUAUUGUUUCAGGAUUUAUCUUGUUUCAGCAUUUCUAAUGAUUUAUUCCACUGCAGCACUUCAUGGAAUACUAGGCAAAUUAUUAGAACUACAAAUUGAUCAGUAUUUAUUUACAAGUACUUAACUUCAUCUACAUUCAUUAACCAAUACUACACAUUUAAAAUUUCAUGGGCUACCUACAUAAUAUUUUUAAUCAAAAUGAGUCAUCUUGUCUAAAAAAGAGGAUAAUGAGUUGAUUUUCAUCAUGAAUGCUUCCUCAUUCUUUUUUUUUUGCAUGUCAGAAUUUUUACAUCAAAAGUUACUAAUAUCAGAAACCUGUCGACAAUUCAAAUUCCUAAUUUAUCUUGAUUAAAUUAACUUUAAAAUUCAUUUCCAAAUGUUAAUUGUUUAUCAGAUAAUAUUAUUUGAAGACCUAUCUUUCUUUUUGCCUUUUCAUUUUCAAAUUUAUGUAAAUGCUCUCUUAAAUCGAUACUUAUCAAUCGACUUUAUUUACAUUUUCUUUUUUUUUUUUGGUAGCAUAAAGGAUCAUGGAGCUAUCCUUAAACUGCAUCUGGACAUGAUUCAAUAGCACAACUUUGAAGAAUUCUUUGUUUUGGGCAUCUUUAAAUGGUUUUGGAAACAGCUCAUUUACCCUUUGCAUUUGGGUUAAUCCUUCUUGCAUGGAAGUCUUUUAUGAGAAAUGAUCUAUUCAAUUUUUUCUUUUCUAUAUGAUUUUCAUUUUUGAGUUCCUUUAAUUCAUUGUUGGACUGCUUUAAUUCUGUGUUUUUUCCCCAAGUAAUGUCUUCGUUUUAAGGGAAUCAAGUAGUUGGUAGAUCUCAUCUUCAGCUUUAGAAAGCUGAAUUGACAGGAUGUCAAUCAUAUCUAUUGGUUGAUACUUUAAAAGAAGCCACUUAUCUCAUUCCAGCUGAAGGUUUAAUUUUGAUGUCUGAUUGAUUAAGUAGAGUAGAACUUCCACAAGAAGGGCAAUAAAUUUCUUUCUGUAGUUUUGCUCUGAUUUGUUUUUCAUCUUCCAAUCUAUAGUUCAGCAUCACAUUUGGACAAAAAAAAUUGCAAGUAAUUGAAAGAUUACUAAAAUGGAUUUUUUUUUUAAAUAGUCAAGAGGAAAUUCUGCAGGGAAUUUUGUGAGAGAUACUUUCAUUUUAAUUUUCAGGAAUCUUUUUUUAUUUAAUAGUUUUCCUAUUGUACUGUAUUUUUUAAAUGUCUUUAUUUUCAAAAUACAUGCAAAUAUAGUGUAACACCUAGCCAUGCAAAACCUUGUUUCUGAUUUUUUUUCUCCCUUCUGUUCCCCCACCCAUUCCCCUAGACAGUAAUCCAAUAUAUGUUAAAUUUGUGCAAUUGUUCUGUACAUAUUUCCACAUAUAUCAUGCUGUGUAAGAAACAAAUCAAAUCAAAAAGGGGAAAAAAUGAGAAGGAAAGAAAGACAAGCAAACAAGAACAACUUACAUUCAGUCCCCAGAGUGCUCUUUUUGAUGCAGAUGGUUCUCUCCAUCACAGAUCAACUGGAAUUAGUCUGAAUAAUUUUAUAUUGUUGAAAAGAGCCAAAUCCAUCAAGAUUAAUUUUUUUUACUUUUUAUGAUUUCUAUACCAAUAUUUCAAAUCCAGUACUAGUCAAAGCAUCUGCUUACAGUCUUGUUUUUACCACUAUUUUAAGGUUUGAAGAUGCAUGUUAAAUGGAGGUGUCUGAGAAUCAAGAAUCCUGCCUAUACUAUUCAUACUGAAGAAGACAAUUCUCUGGAGUGGUAAUCAGAGUUUGAAAUGAAAACUAAGCACUACAAUGAUCUAAUCUCAAAGGACUCAUGAUGAAAAAUGCUACCCACAUCCAGAGAAAGAACUGAUGAAGCCUGAAUGCAGGCCAAGGACAACACAUAACUCCCAUUUCCCAAAGCCACGCCCUUGUGCAGGGUGUCUUCUCAGCCUGGAGUGCACUGCUGCUUUCCUAAGCUCCCCCUCCAUUAGAAUUUCUUGUUUCUUUGAAAUUCUGCUUCAGUACCUUCUUCUACAGGAAGUUGCUGCUACUAAUUUCCUUUGAAAACCAUGUCCUGCUUCCUGCUCCAAAUUUCCAAGACUUUAUUGUAUUGUAUUUAUAUCCUGUAUUCUCGAAUGGAAUGUAAACUUCCUGAUGGCACUUGAUUUUUGUCUUAGAGCUUCAUACCCACUAGUCUCACACAAGGCACUUGAUAAAUAUAUGUUAAUUAAAGACUAUUUGUGCUUCAAAAAUAAUAUGAUGAAAUAAGAGUGAGCACUAAUUGGAAAUUAUUUCUGCCUCCAUAGAGUUCUCAAUUACAUUCUGCUUUUCGAUUCUUUAA